CCCAUAGCCCACUACGCCUGGAACGGUGAGUGGGUCAAAGCUCCGGCGGCAUAGGAUGGGCCUGCGCCGUAUCAGGUUGUAGGGGGUGUAAAGUACCCUCUAGCCAUCAACGCGUACGGGUGUUGGGAGACAUUGCCCGGAGAUGGAUUCUGAGACACGAAUCCAGACCCUACGGGGUGCAGCAGGCGCGAAAACUUGGCAAUGCGAGAAAUCGUGACCAGGGAACUCCAAGUGCGUAGGGUAAGACCUACGCUUUUCUUGACUCUUCAAAGGUCUUGGAAUAAGGGGUGGGUAAGGACGGUGCCAGCCGCCGCGGUAAUACCGGCGCCUCAAGUGGUAGUCGCUUUUAUUGGGCCUAAAACGUCCGUAGCCGGUCUGGUGCAUUCGUGGGUAAAUCAACCCGCUCAACGGGUUGAAUUCUGCGAGCACGGCCAGACUUGGGACCGGGAGAGGUGUGGGGUACUCUCAGGGUAGGGGUAAAAUCCUGUCAUCCUGAGAGGACCACCUGUUGCGAAGGCGCCACACUAGAACGGAUCCGACGGUCAGGGACGAAACCUAGGGGCACGAACCGGAUUAGAUACCCGGGUAGUCCUAGGUGUAAACGCUGUGGACUUGAUGUUGGGGGCGCUCCGAGCGCUCUCAGUGUCGAAGCGAAGGUGAUAAGUCCACUGCCUGGGGAGUACGGUCGCAAGGCUGAAACUCAAAUGAAUUGACGG
This 716-nucleotide ribosomal RNA is filed under the name uncultured euryarchaeote. Its description in RNAcentral is "bacterial SSU rRNA". It matches the Rfam family "Archaeal small subunit ribosomal RNA", at positions 153 to 871 of the family's 1478-position model. The record is from RNAcentral. Lineage: Archaea; Methanobacteriati; Methanobacteriota.